UACGUAGGGGGCAAGCGUUGUCCGGAAUCAUUGGGCGUAAAGCGCGUGUAGGCGGCCCAGUAAGUCCGUUCUGAAAGCCCGGGGCUCAACCCCGGGAGGCGGAUGGAUACUGCUGGGCUCGAGUACGGAAGAGGCGAGUGGAAUUCCCGGUGUAGCGGUGAAAUGCGCAGAUAUCGGGAGGAACACCAAUGGCGAAGGCAGCUCGCUGGGACGUUACUGACGCUGAGACGCGAAAGCGUGGGGAGCAAACAGG
RNAcentral lists this ribosomal RNA (253 nucleotides) under uncultured bacterium. RNAcentral's name for it is "partial 16S ribosomal RNA". It matches the Rfam family "Bacterial small subunit ribosomal RNA", at positions 524 to 776 of the family's 1533-position model. The record is from RNAcentral.